AGUGAACGCUGGCGGUAGGCCUAACACAUGCAAGUCGAACGGCAGCACAGUAAGAGCUUGCUCUUACGGGUGGCGAGUGGCGGACGGGUGAGGAAUACAUCGGAAUCUACUUUUUCGUGGGGGAUAACGUAGGGAAACUUACGCUAAUACCGCAUACGACCUACGGGUGAAAGCAGGGGAUCUUCGGACCUUGCGCGAUUGAAUGAGCCGAUGUCGGAUUAGCUAGUUGGCGGGGUAAAGGCCCACCAAGGCGACGAUCCGUAGCUGGUCUGAGAGGAUGAUCAGCCACACUGGAACUGAGACACGGUCCAGACUCCUACGGGAGGCAGCAGUGGGGAAUAUUGGACAAUGGGCGAAAGCCUGAUCCAGCAAUACCGCGUGGGUGAAGAAGGCCUGCGGGUUGUAAAGCCAUUUUGUUGGGAAAGAAAAGCAGCAGGUUAAUACACCGAUGUUCUGACGGUACCCAAAGAAUAAGCACCGGCUAACUUCGUG
Molecule: ribosomal RNA, 492 nt
Filed under: uncultured bacterium
Lineage: Bacteria
Description: partial 16S ribosomal RNA
Rfam family: Bacterial small subunit ribosomal RNA
Source: RNAcentral